CACGUAGGUCCCGAGUGUUGUCCGGAUUUAUUGGGCGUAAAGCGAGCGCAGGUGGUUUAUUAAGUCUGGUGUAAAAGGCAGUGGCUCAACCAUUGUAUGCAUUGGAAACUGGUAGACUUGAGUGCAGGAGAGGAGAGUGGAAUUCCAUGUGUAGCGGUGAAAUGCGUAGAUAUAUGGAGGAACACCGGUGGCGAAAGCGGCUCUCUGGCCUGUAACUGACACUGAGGCUCGAAAGCGUGGGGAGCAAACAGG
RNAcentral lists this ribosomal RNA (252 nucleotides) under uncultured bacterium. Its description in RNAcentral is "partial 16S ribosomal RNA". It matches the Rfam family "Bacterial small subunit ribosomal RNA", at positions 524 to 776 of the family's 1533-position model. The record is from RNAcentral.